This 433-nucleotide ribosomal RNA is filed under the name uncultured bacterium. Its description in RNAcentral is "partial 16S ribosomal RNA". It matches the Rfam family "Bacterial small subunit ribosomal RNA", at positions 29 to 507 of the family's 1533-position model. The record is from RNAcentral.
AGCGAACGCUGGCGGCAGGCCUAACACAUGCAAGUCGAACGGAUCCUUCGGGAUUAGUGGCGGACGGGUGAGUAACACGUGGGAACGUGCCCUUUGGUUCGGAACAACUCAGGGAAACUUGAGCUAAUACCGGAUGUGCCCUUCGGGGGAAAGAUUUAUCGCCAUUGGAGCGGCCCGCGUCUGAUUAGCUAGUUGGUGAGGUAACGGCCCACCAAGGCGACGAUCAGUAGCUGGUCUGAGAGGAUGAUCAGGCACACUGGGACUGAGACACGGCCCAGACUCCUACGGGAGGCAGCAGUGGGGAAUCUUGCGCAAUGGGCGAAAGCCUGACGCAGCCAUGCCGCGUGAAUGAUGAAGGUCUUAGGAUUGUAAAAUUCUUUCAGCGGGGACGAUAAUGACGGUACCCGCAGAAGAAGCUCCGGCUAACUUCGUG